RNAcentral lists this ribosomal RNA (221 nucleotides) under uncultured bacterium. RNAcentral describes it as "partial 16S ribosomal RNA". It matches the Rfam family "Bacterial small subunit ribosomal RNA", at positions 99 to 334 of the family's 1533-position model. The record is from RNAcentral.
CGUACGGGUGAGUAACACGUGGGUGAUCUACCCUUUAGUGGGGAAUAACGCUGGGAAACCGGCGCUAAUACCGCAUAAGCUCGAGAGAGGAAAGCAGCAAUGCGCUGAAGGAGGAGCCCGCGGCCGAUUAGCUGGUUGGCAGGGUAAAAGCCUACCAAGGCAUAGAUCGGUAGCUGGUCUGAGAGGAUGGCCGGCCACACUGGAACUGAGACACGGUCCAG